Molecule: long non-coding RNA, 725 nt
Organism: Leopardus geoffroyi (Geoffroy's cat)
Lineage: Eukaryota; Metazoa; Chordata; Mammalia; Carnivora; Felidae
Exons: 3
Source: RefSeq, a predicted model, not a curated record
UUCCUCUCCCAGCUCCAUCUCAGAGCCUGCUAAACGCUCCUCCUGGCUUCACUGAGACUCUCCUUACAGUGCUUCCAAAAAUCUCGAUGAGCCUUUGCAUUUUAAGCAGACGCGAUUAUAUCAGAUCUCCCCGUCUUCCAGCGGCUCAGCUCUACCCAAGUUUGAUGAACUGAUCUCAGUUAGAGAAAUCCCAUCAGCUGUCGGCUUUGCUGAGACUCGGGCAAUGACAUCUCCCCGGUUUGCUCAGGUUUGAUGCGAAGGAGCCGCUCCUGCCACAAACCUUCAAGGCCAGCUGGCCGGAACAGGUCUUUCAUCGGCCAUCGUCGUCCCUGGAACCCAGAACCGGGGGCACGGAGAAAGCAAAACAACCGGGAUAGAUGUGGCUUGGAAGGGUACAAAACAAAAAACGGAAAGAGCGGACCUGACUUGCUGAAGCUCACACAACCAGCAACUGAGCCAGGAUUCGAACCUCUUUCAUUCGGACUCCCUGACCUGCUUUUUUUCUGCUCUGUUCCACUUUUCUCACAAAUCAUCUUCCUCGUGAACUCCUAUUCAUCCUUCAAAACCCAAUGUAAACGUGUUCUCUCUUAUGUGAAGCCUGCCCCCCUCAUUCUCUCCAUCCACCUCACCCAGGCAAGGUUAGUCAUUAUUAGAAUUCUAAAUGAAGUUCUUUUUUUUUUUUUUUUUAACGUUUAUUUCUUUUUGAGAGACAGAGCGCAAGCAGG